This 440-nucleotide ribosomal RNA is filed under the name uncultured bacterium. RNAcentral describes it as "bacterial SSU rRNA". It matches the Rfam family "Bacterial small subunit ribosomal RNA", at positions 338 to 795 of the family's 1533-position model. The record is from RNAcentral.
CCUACGGGAGGCAGCAGUGGGGAAUAUUGGACAAUGGGCGCAAGCCUGAUCCAGCCAUGCCGCGUGAGUGAUGAAGGCCCUAGGGUUGUAAAGCUCUUUCGCACGCGACGAUAAUGACGGUAGCGUGAGAAGAAGCCCCGGCUAACUUCGUGCCAGCAGCCGCGGUAAUACGAAGGGGGCUAGCGUUGUUCGGAAUCACUGGGCGUAAAGGGCGCGUAGGCGGCUGUUCAAGUCGGGGGUGAAAGCCUGUGGCUCAACCACAGAAUGGCCUUCGAUACUGGACGGCUCGAGACCGGAAGAGGUUGGUGGAACUGCGAGUGUAGAGGUGAAAUGCGCAGAUAUCAGGAGGAACACCGGUGGCGAAGGCGGUGGUCUGGGCCGAUACUGACGCUGAGGAGCGAAAGCGUGGGGAGCGAACAGGAUUAGAUACCCUAGUAGUC